AUGAACGCUGGCGGCGUGCCUAAUCCAUGCCAGUCGAGCGGACGGACGAGAAGCUUGCUUCUCUGAUGUUAGCGGCGGACGGGUGAGUAACACGUGGAUAACCUACCUAUAAGACUGGGAUAACUUCGGGAAACCGGAGCUAAUACCGGAUGAUAUUUUGAACCGCAUGGUUCAAAAGUGAAAGACGGUCUUGCUGUCACUUAUAGAUGGAUCCGCGCUGCAUUAGCUAGUUGGUAAGGUAACGGCUUACCAAGGCAACGAUGCAUAGCCGACCUGAGAGGGUGAUCGGCCACACUGGAACUGAGACACGGUCCAGACUCCUACGGGAGGCAGCAGUAGGGAAUCUUCCGCAAUGGGCGAAAGCCUGACGGAGCAACGCCGCGUGAGUGAUGAAGGUCUUCGGAUCGUAAAACUCUGUUAUUAGGGAAGAACAUAUGUGUAAGUAACUGUGCACAUCUUGACGGUACCUAAUCAGAAAGCCACGGCUAACUACGUG
Molecule: ribosomal RNA, 496 nt
Filed under: uncultured bacterium
Lineage: Bacteria
Description: partial 16S ribosomal RNA
Rfam family: Bacterial small subunit ribosomal RNA
Source: RNAcentral